Molecule: unclassified non-coding RNA, 387 nt
Filed under: soil metagenome
Description: partial contains 5.8S ribosomal RNA, internal transcribed spacer 2, and large subunit ribosomal RNA
Rfam family: 5.8S ribosomal RNA (bases 1-120)
Source: RNAcentral
GAUGAAGAACGCAGCGAAAUGCGAUAAGUAAUGUGAAUUGCAGAAUUCAGUGAAUCAUCGAAUCUUUGAACGCACCUUGCACCCUUUGGUAUUCCGAAGGGUAUGCUCGUUUGAGUGUCAUUGUACUCUCACACUACUAAUUCCUUUCGGGAUUGGGAGCGGUGGACUUGGGUGUUGCUGCUUUAGUUGUGGCUCACCUCAAAUAAGUUAGUGCAACUCUUGGUUGGACAUAGUACGGCGUGAUAAGUGUCUUCGCCGGCGCCUCUGUAAGGAGGGUGGCCGAUCGGGAGCUCUGUGCUUCAAACCGUCUUCGGACAAUCUUUGACAACUUGACCUCAAAUCGAGUAGGACUACCCGCUGAACUUAAGCAUAUCAAUAAGCGGAGGA